This 468-nucleotide ribosomal RNA is filed under the name uncultured bacterium. Its description in RNAcentral is "partial 16S ribosomal RNA". It matches the Rfam family "Bacterial small subunit ribosomal RNA", at positions 28 to 507 of the family's 1533-position model. The record is from RNAcentral.
GACGAACGCUGGCGGCGUGCUUAACACAUGCAAGUCGAACGGAAAGGCCCUGCUUUUGUGGGGUGCUCGAGUGGCGAACGGGUGAGUAAAACGUGAGUAACCUGCCCUUGACUUUGGGAUAACUUCAGGAAACUGGGGCUAAUACCGGAUAGGAGCUCCUGCUGCAUGGUGGGGGUUGGAAAGUUUCGGCGGUUGGGGAUGGACUCGCGGCUUAUCAGCUUGUUGGUGGGGUAGUGGCUUUCCAAGGCUUUGACGGGUAGCCUGCCUGAGAGGGUGGCCGGCCACAUUGGGACUGAGGUACGGCCCAGACUCCUACGUGCGGCAGCAGUCGGGAAUAUUGCGCAGUGGGCGGAAGCCUGAUGCAGCAACGCCGCGUGCGGGAUGACGGCCUUCGGGUUGUAAACCGCUUUCGCCUGUGACAAAGCGUGAGUGACGGUAAUGGGUAAAGAAGCACCGGCUAACUACGUG